This 1392-nucleotide ribosomal RNA is filed under the name metagenome. Its description in RNAcentral is "bacterial LSU rRNA". It matches the Rfam family "Bacterial large subunit ribosomal RNA", at positions 1552 to 2925 of the family's 2925-position model. The record is from RNAcentral.
AACUCUGAGACGUGAUACCGAGCCGCUUCAGGCGAAGUCAUUGAUCCUAUGCUGCCUAGAAAAGCCCAGCAGCGAGUUGACAUGGUGCCCGUACCCCAAACCAACACAGGUGGACAGGUAGAGCAUACCAAGGCGAGUGGGAUAACUAUGGUUAAGGAACUCGGCAAAUUGCCUCCGUAACUUCGGGAGAAGGAGGACCCCAGUAGCGUGAUGAGACUUGCUCUCUGAGCGUGAAGGGGUGGCACAAAAUUGAGGGAAGCGACUGUUUACCAAAAACACAGCAGCGUGCUAAGCCGUAAGGCGCUGUAUACGCUGUGACUCCUGCCCGGUGCUGGAAGGUUACGGGGAUGGGUUAGUCCUUCGGGACGAAGCUCUGAACCUAAGCCCCAGUAAACGGCGGCCGUAACUAUAACGGUCCUAAGGUAGCGAAAUUCCUUGUCGGGUAAGUUCCGACCUGCACGAAUGGAGUAACGACUUCCCUACUGUCUCAACCAUAGACCCAGCGAAAUUGAAGUACGAGUAAAGAUGCUCGUUAGCUGCAGAAGGACGGAAAGACCCCGUGGACCUUUACUAUAACUUGAUGUUGUGUUUUGUCAUAUGUUGUGUAGGAUAGGUGGGAGACUUGGAAGCAUGGACGCUAGUCUGUGUGGAGUCAUCGUUGAAAUACCACCCUGCAUAUGGUGAGGCUCUAACCUAGACCCGUUAUCCGGGUUGGGGACAGCGUCAGGCGGGUAGUUUAACUGGGGCGGUUGCCUCCUAAAGAGUAACGGAGGCGCCCAAAGGUUCCCUCAGCCUGGUUGGCAAUCAGGCGUUGAGUGCAAUGGCAAAAGGGAGCUUGACUGCGAGACCUACAAGUCGAGCAGGAGCGAAAGCUGGGCAUAGUGAUCCGGCGGUUGCGUGUGGAAGCGCCGUCGCUCAACGGAUAAAAGGUACCCCGGGGAUAACAGGCUAAUCUUGCCCAAGCGUCCAUAGCGACGGCAAGGUUUGGCACCUCGAUGUCGGCUCAUCGCAUCCUGGGGCUGAAGCAGGUCCCAAGGGUUGGGCUGUUCGCCCAUUAAAGCGGUACGCGAGCUGGGUUCAGAACGUCGUGAGACAGUUCGGUCCCUAUCCUCUGCAGCCGGAGGUGAAUUGAGGAAAGCUGUCCCUAGUACGAGGGGACCGGGACGGACGCAGCUCUCGUGUGCCAGUUGUCCUGCCAAGGGCAUGGCUGGUUAGCGACCUGCGGAAAGGAUAACCGCUGAAAGCAUCUAAGCGGGAAGCCUCUUCCAAGAUGAAUUCACCCACAGGGUUAACCUGGUAAGGCCCGUGGUAGACCACCACGUUGAUAGGCCGGAAGUGUAAGCGUGGCAACACGUUCAGCUGACCGGUACUAAUCGGCCGAGGGCUUGAGUC